GGGCGUGUAGCUCAUUUGGUAGAGCGCUCGCUUAGCAUGGUUAGAACCCCGUCAAGUGUUCCGGGCUAUGCGAGAGGUACUGGGUUCGAUUCCCAGCUCGUCCA
Molecule: transfer RNA, 104 nt
Filed under: Thermochaetoides thermophila DSM 1495
Lineage: Eukaryota; Fungi; Ascomycota; Sordariomycetes; Sordariales; Chaetomiaceae
Description: Chaetomium thermophilum var. thermophilum DSM 1495 tRNA
Rfam family: tRNA
About the family: Transfer RNA (tRNA) molecules are approximately 80 nucleotides in length. Their secondary structure includes four short double-helical elements and three loops (D, anti-codon, and T loops).
Source: Rfam by way of RNAcentral